AGCUGGUGCACUGGUGCUUACGGCUAAGUGAUCACAACCAGUUACUUAAUUUGUUCCUUCUUCUCUCCCACUGCUUUAUUUGACUGGCUUUUA
This 93-nucleotide small RNA is filed under the name Otolemur garnettii (small-eared galago). Its description in RNAcentral is "Y RNA (ENSOGAG00000017788.1)". Lineage: Eukaryota; Metazoa; Chordata; Mammalia; Primates; Galagidae. The record is from RNAcentral.